This 77-nucleotide transfer RNA is filed under the name Oxalobacteraceae bacterium. RNAcentral describes it as "tRNA-Arg". It matches the Rfam family "tRNA". From Rfam's summary of the family: Transfer RNA (tRNA) molecules are approximately 80 nucleotides in length. Their secondary structure includes four short double-helical elements and three loops (D, anti-codon, and T loops). Lineage: Bacteria; Pseudomonadati; Pseudomonadota; Betaproteobacteria; Burkholderiales; Oxalobacteraceae. The record is from RNAcentral.
GCGCUCGUAGCUCAGUUGGAUAGAGCAUCAGACUACGAAUCUGAGGGUCGGGAGUUCGAGUCUCUCCGAGCGCGCCA